GAUGAACGCUGGCGGCGUGCCUAAUACAUGCAAGUCGAGCGAACAGAUGAGGAGCUUGCUCCUCUGACGUUAGCGGCGGACGGGUGAGUAACACGUGGAUAACCUACCUAUAAGACUGGGAUAACUUCGGGAAACCGGAGCUAAUACCGGAUAAUAUAUUGAACCGCAUGGUUCAAUAGUGAAAGACGGUUUUGCUGUCACUUAUAGAUGGAUCCGCGCCGCAUUAGCUAGUUGGUAAGGUAACGGCUUACCAAGGCGACGAUGCGUAGCCGACCGGAGAGGGUGAUCGCCCACCCUGGAGCUGAGACACGGUCCAUACUCCUGCGGGAGGCAGCAGUAGCGAAUCGUCCGCAAUGGGCGGAAGCCUGACGGAGCGACGCCGCGUGAGUGAUGAAGGUCUUCGGAUCGUAAAACUCUGUUAUUAGGGAAGAACAAAUGUGUAAGUAACUAUGCACGUCUUGACGGUACCUAAUCAGAAAGCCACGGCUAACUACGUG
RNAcentral lists this ribosomal RNA (497 nucleotides) under uncultured bacterium. Its description in RNAcentral is "partial 16S ribosomal RNA". It matches the Rfam family "Bacterial small subunit ribosomal RNA", at positions 28 to 507 of the family's 1533-position model. The record is from RNAcentral.